This 362-nucleotide long non-coding RNA is filed under the name Bos taurus (domestic cattle). Its description in RNAcentral is "long non-coding RNA NONBTAT019185". Lineage: Eukaryota; Metazoa; Chordata; Mammalia; Artiodactyla; Bovidae. The record is from RNAcentral.
AGGAAACUACUUUUUCAUUGGUCUUCUUGUGGUAGCCUUAACAGUCUUCUAAAAGGUAUACAAGAAAAUUUGAACAGGUGAUAUUAUGUGCAAGUUAAUAAUAUCUUUCUCCCUCCACCAAACUCAUUUUUCUAGUAUAUUUAGGUAUUUAAAAUACCCUCAGAUUAUUCUGUAUUUAUUUUAUCCAGAGUAUGGAUUCAUAUUCCUCCAGUCAAGAUGUGCUAAGAGCCUAAUUUUCUUUUAAUUUCAUGGAGAACAAUUGACUAGCCACUAAGAACAGUUAUUAAAACUUGCCAGUUUUCAACUUAAAAUCAGUGAACAUUUGGCAUUUCCUUAAGAAAAGUUUUGCGAGUUUUGCUUUU